UUGUCUGGUCUGGAGGUGUGAAUCCAGCAGCGUCUCUCACAGUGAGUCCUCACAGACUGCAGCACUUCAGCACAGAGUCACUGUCACUGAGCUGUGAGGGAAACUCUGCUGAGUGGAGAGUGAUGAAGGCUGAUGAAUCUGGCUUCAUGUCAUCCUGUUCUCACUGGGGACAAAUGACUGGAUCCACAUGCAACACCGACACUAGAGCGAGUAGUGGAGUGUACUGGUGUGAGUCUGCAACACAGUCCAGCAAUGCAGCCAACAUCACUACACACAGUGGUGAUGUCAUCCUGGUGAGUCCUGUCCAUCCUGUGACUGAGGGACAUUCGGUCACUCUUGGCUGCACGUUGAGGACA
Molecule: non-coding RNA, 356 nt
Organism: Gasterosteus aculeatus aculeatus (three-spined stickleback)
Lineage: Eukaryota; Metazoa; Chordata; Actinopteri; Perciformes; Gasterosteidae
Source: RefSeq, a predicted model, not a curated record